RNAcentral lists this long non-coding RNA (352 nucleotides) under Brassica napus (rape). RNAcentral describes it as "long non-coding RNA (BNAP_LNC012431)". The record is from RNAcentral. Lineage: Eukaryota; Viridiplantae; Streptophyta; Magnoliopsida; Brassicales; Brassicaceae.
UUUAUGUGUGUUGUCUUUGUUAAGAUGUAUUAAAUACUUGAACCCAACUAUUAAGAUAAUAUAAGUAUGCUUUUGAUUGCUUCAUGCCUAUAUGUGUUUGCUCGUGGUUGUUGUGAAUCCCUGUGUUGUGUGUGUGACUUCAUCUUAGGUACUUGUGAGACGCAAGGAUUAAAAAGGGGGAGAUUGAAGAUGUAUAGUCAAGACGGAGCUGUAGUAGUUCAUGAAGCACGACAUGAACUACGACAUCAGAUGAGGAUACAAGAAGCUGGUCGGGUGAGUUAAUGAGCAUUCAAGGAAGAAUUACUGAAGGAGUCAGUUUAAAGGAAGAAUUGGAGAAGAAGCAAUCUAACUC